This 413-nucleotide ribosomal RNA is filed under the name Escherichia coli. RNAcentral describes it as "bacterial SSU rRNA". It matches the Rfam family "Bacterial small subunit ribosomal RNA", at positions 1 to 408 of the family's 1533-position model. The record is from RNAcentral. Lineage: Bacteria; Pseudomonadati; Pseudomonadota; Gammaproteobacteria; Enterobacterales; Enterobacteriaceae.
UUAAAUUGAAGAGUUUGAUCAUGGCUCAGAUUGAACGCUGGCGGCAGGCCUAACACAUGCAAGUCGAACGGUAACAGGAAGCAGCUUGCUGCUUUGCUGACGAGUGGCGGACGGGUGAGUAAUGUCUGGGAAACUGCCUGAUGGAGGGGGAUAACUACUGGAAACGGUAGCUAAUACCGCAUAACGUCGCAAGACCAAAGAGGGGGACCUUCGGGCCUCUUGCCAUCGGAUGUGCCCAGAUGGGAUUAGCUAGUAGGUGGGGUAACGGCUCACCUAGGCGACGAUCCCUAGCUGGUCUGAGAGGAUGACCAGCCACACUGGAACUGAGACACGGUCCAGACUCCUACGGGAGGCAGCAGUGGGGAAUAUUGCACAAUGGGCGCAAGCCUGAUGCAGCCAUGCCGCGUGUAUGA